GUCCCUUCGGAGACAUUUGAUAAAUUUGGAACGAUACAAAGAAGAUUAACAUGACUCUUCCAAAAAAAUAACAAUCAUAAAUCGAGAAAAAGGUUCAAUUUUU
This 103-nucleotide small nuclear RNA is filed under the name Solanum tuberosum (potato). The record is from RNAcentral. Lineage: Eukaryota; Viridiplantae; Streptophyta; Magnoliopsida; Solanales; Solanaceae.